Molecule: ribosomal RNA, 274 nt
Filed under: uncultured bacterium
Lineage: Bacteria
Description: partial 16S ribosomal RNA
Rfam family: Bacterial small subunit ribosomal RNA
Source: RNAcentral
ACACGGAGGGUGCGAGCGUUGUUCGGAAUCACUGGGCGUAAAGCGGGUGUAGGCGGUCUAGCAAGUCAGAUGUGAAAGUCCAGGGCUCAGCCCUGGAAGUGCAUCUGAAACUGUUAGACUUGAGUACUGGAGAGGGAAGUGGAAUUCCUGGUGUAGGGGUGAAAUCCGUAGAUAUCAGGAGGAACACCGGUGGCGAAGGCGACUUCCUGGACAGAUACUGACGCUCAGACCCGAAAGCGUGGGGAGCAAACAGGAUUAGAUACCCUAGUAGUCC